AUCACUUCUCGACCUUUUGGCUAAGAUCAAGUGUAGUGUCUGUUCUUAUCAGUUUAGUAUCUGAUAUGUCCUCUAUCCAAGGACAAUCUAUUAAAUUCUCCUUAAGCUGAUAAGAAACUUUA
Molecule: small nuclear RNA, 122 nt
Organism: Callithrix jacchus (white-tufted-ear marmoset)
Lineage: Eukaryota; Metazoa; Chordata; Mammalia; Primates; Cebidae
Gene: U2
Rfam family: U2 spliceosomal RNA
About the family: U2 is a small nuclear RNA (snRNA) component of the spliceosome (involved in pre-mRNA splicing). Complementary binding between U2 snRNA (in an area lying towards the 5' end but 3' to hairpin I) and the branchpoint sequence (BPS) of the intron results the bulging out of an unpaired adenosine, on the BPS, which initiates a nucleophilic attack at the intronic 5' splice site, thus starting the first of two transesterification reactions that mediate splicing.
Source: Ensembl